Myotis brandtii (Brandt's bat) is the source of this 332-nucleotide long non-coding RNA. RefSeq lists it as uncharacterized. NCBI's taxonomy places the organism in Eukaryota, Metazoa, Chordata, Mammalia, Chiroptera, Vespertilionidae. The record is from RefSeq and is a predicted model, not a curated record. The transcript is spliced from 4 exons.
UUCUGGGCGCGCCGGCAGCGCGAGGCUAGUUUUGCGGGCGGGUCCGGGGAGCCAAGCAGCCUGCACAAAUGCGGGCGUACAGCACAUCACCCUGGCUGACGUUGAGCCGCACGCGAAGGAGCAGGUCAUUCCUGCUGGGUUCCACAAGGAGGAGGCGGCAGGAGCCCAGAAUUCAAAUUUAAGACGCUCAAAACAAAAGUCACUUCUCCAGUAACUCAAGAGAGAAGCAUGAGCAUCAGCUUACAUUCUUCCCUUCCUCUGACCUCCCACAUCCAGCAGGACUCCUUAGCACAGCUUCUGGAUCUGUAAGAACAACUUGAGAACGGCCCCAG